GGUCCCACCUGACCCCAUGCCGAACUCAGAAGUGAAACGCCGUAGCGCCGAUGGUAGUGUGGGGCCUCCCCAUGCGAGAGUAGGGAACUGCCAGGC
Molecule: ribosomal RNA, 96 nt
Filed under: Cronobacter sakazakii
Lineage: Bacteria; Pseudomonadati; Pseudomonadota; Gammaproteobacteria; Enterobacterales; Enterobacteriaceae
Also listed under: 3 other names
Source: RNAcentral